UACGUAGGGUGCGAGCGUUGUCCGGAAUUAUUGGGCGUAAAGAGCUCGUAGGCGGCCUGUCGCGUCGACCGUGAAAACCCGCAGCUCAACUGCGGGCUUGCGGUCGAUACGGGCAGGCUGGAGUUCGGUAGGGGAGACUGGAAUUCCUGGUGUAGCGGUGAAAUGCGCAGAUAUCAGGAGGAACACCGGUGGCGAAGGCGGGUCUCUGGGCCGAUACUGACGCUGAGGAGCGAAAGCGUGGGGAGCGAACAGG
Molecule: ribosomal RNA, 253 nt
Filed under: uncultured bacterium
Lineage: Bacteria
Description: partial 16S ribosomal RNA
Rfam family: Bacterial small subunit ribosomal RNA
Source: RNAcentral